Molecule: small nuclear RNA, 107 nt
Organism: Cercocebus atys (sooty mangabey)
Lineage: Eukaryota; Metazoa; Chordata; Mammalia; Primates; Cercopithecidae
Source: Ensembl
GUGCUUACUUCCACAGCCCAUAUAUUAAAAUUGGAAUGAUAUAGAGAAGACUAGCCUGGCCCCUGUGCAAGGAUGACAUGCAAAUUCGUGAAGUGUUCCAUAUUAAA